GACGAACGCUGGCGGCGUGCCUAAUACAUGCAAGUAGAACGCUGAAGCGAGGAGCUUGCUCUUCUUGGAUGAGUUGCGAACGGGUGAGUAACGCGUAGGUAACCUGCCUUGUAGCGGGGGAUAACUAUUGGAAACGAUAGCUAAUACCGCAUAACAAUGGAUGACACAUGUCAUUUAUUUGAAAGGGGCAAUUGCUCCACUACAAGAUGGACCUGCGUUGUAUUAGCUAGUAGGUGAGGUAAUGGCUCACCUAGGCGACGAUACAUAGCCGACCUGAGAGGGUGAUCGGCCACACUGGGACUGAGACACGGCCCAGACUCCUACGGGAGGCAGCAGUAGGGAAUCUUCGGCAAUGGGGGCAACCCUGACCGAGCAACGCCGCGUGAGUGAAGAAGGUUGUCGGAUCGUAAAGCUCUGUUGUAAGCCAAGAACGGGUGUGAGAGUGGAAAGUUCACACUGUGACGGUAGCUUACCAGAAAGGGACGGCUAACUACGUG
This 497-nucleotide ribosomal RNA is filed under the name uncultured bacterium. RNAcentral's name for it is "partial 16S ribosomal RNA". It matches the Rfam family "Bacterial small subunit ribosomal RNA", at positions 28 to 507 of the family's 1533-position model. The record is from RNAcentral.